UUCUUUUUAUGACUACACAAAAGAGUAUAAAAAUCUUCAUAGUAAAUAGCAAUCCCAAGUGACAAAGAGAAUGCGGUGUUCUGGUGGCCUGGCUGUUCUUUCCUGGUUGGUGGCUUUGUGCAUGAGAGUCAGCAUUUUCCAUCUUUCCAGGAGAGGGACCAAGCUCCGCCACACCAAGGAGCUUUCCCAGGUUAAAUAAGUGAUGUCCAGCCUGCGCCUGCCGCUGUUUGGGCAUCUGAGACCCUCACCUGUCCCCUGCAGUCCCCAGAGUUUUCCACUGUGCCGCAAUCCCCCUUUUCCAGGACACAGACCAGGCCUUGGCCACCAGGACCCGCCUGCAGCAGACAUUGAUCAACAGCAACCUUGGGGGCUGCUGACCACGUUGACACGCAGCAGGUGGCCUCUUGGAAACAGCCGGGGCUGGCGGAGGGUCAGAUCCUGCAGGAAACACGGAACCCAAACAGGAAUCACUGGUCUGUACUCGCUGGAGUUUGGAAGGACAGAUGGGGUGUCCUUGGUCAGAGAACGCAACUGUGCUAUUUCAAAACUCUCGCCAAGAGGCCCAUCUGAGGAGACGGGGCCAGGCAGCAGCGCGGCUAGGGAAGGUCAACUCUGAGUCCUAAAGUGCUGGGAUAAAUCUAGGAGCAAAAGAAGGACAGAGGACAUCCCCAGGCAGUGCCAAAAGGGGAUAUAGAGAAAUAAUUCAUUCCCAUCAGGAGAAGUGUUCACCUUUGCCAGAAAUCAAAGAAGUGCAAAUAACGAGAAGAUACAAUUUGGUGUCUUUCAGGCUGGCAAAAGUUUUAAAAAUGUAUAAUAUCCCAGAUUAAAAGUGAUUCAAGAGACUUGCCAGCUAAAUGCAAUGUGUGAUCCUGCAUUUGGAUCCUGGAUGCCAGGAAACUGUGGAGGACGUUAUUGGAACACUUGGUAAAAUACUGAAUAUGGAUUGCAAAAUUGUGGUAUUGUAUCAGGGUAAAUUUACUGAUUUUUAUUUUUAUUUUUUUGUAAUUGUAUGUGGUUAUGUAAGAGGUUGUUAGGAAAAGCCACAUCGACAUACCUAAGGUAUGAUCCAGCAGCCUACUCAGAGGCUCAGAAAGAAAAACUGUGCAGGAGGGAGGAGGUGGCGGAGGAGCCCGAGAAGGAGAACAGGUGGGGAGUUCUCUGCACUCUUCUUGCAAGCUUUCUGCAAAUUUAAAAUCAUAUAAAAAUGUUUUUUAAAAAGAAAAAAGUUCACGAUGCUCAGUGCUGGCAAAGCUUCAGGAAACGGGCAGGCGUUCUGGAGAAGCCAGGGAGAAGCAGUGGGAAUUUUCACCUGGCAAGGCCACUUCCAGGUCGCGGUCCGAAGAAAGGACCUCAGAAGGCUGCGUCAGAUGUGGCAGAUCAUGCCAUGGAGUAGCACUUGGCCUCUCAAGGACAGAAACUCUGACCUAGGCUGCAACAUGGAUGACCCCUGAGGACAGUGGGCCAAGUGUAGUAAGCCAGCAGCGACACCAUGUGAUCCCACUUAUGGAGUCGUCAAAUGCAGAGACAAGGGGAAAGCAUAACCCAUGCCUCCCAGGGCAGGCAGAGGGGAGCGGAGUUAGUAUUUAAUGGCUACAGAGUUUCAGUUUC
RNAcentral lists this long non-coding RNA (1608 nucleotides) under Marmota monax (woodchuck). The record is from RNAcentral. Lineage: Eukaryota; Metazoa; Chordata; Mammalia; Rodentia; Sciuridae.